CCAGCCAAGUGGUAAAUGAUAAGGCAAAUUUCGUGGGUGCCCUCCUCAAACAGAGAGACAGGGGAGAACUCCCAGAAGUCUGUCCCACUUCCCUUUCCAGUUAGUGGCAAGUAGGGACUCCAGGAGUAGGGAAUACCGAGGAGGUAUGAGUUUCAGAGUUGAAGUCAUCUUGCAGAAUGAGAAGUUUCUGGAAAUUGGAAAUAUCAAUCAGCAUUUUGCCAUAUUGAGAAGUUCUUCAGAAAAAUGUUCCAUUGAGGAGUUCAACCAAAGGUUGGCUAGAAUGAGGGUAAGUGUUCCCAGGAAAAAUCUAUAUUUAUGUUUUAAAAUGGCUUUUCUAAGACCACUUUUGGGAGAAGUAUCAGGAUUAUUUUUUGCCCCUCAGUUUUUCUAUUUUAUUGUCAGAUUAGCAUAGGGAACAAAGACUCUUAAGGCAAGCUAAUUCAGGGUGGGUAAGAUUAUUUUUUUUUGCCUCAACUUUCUCCCUUCUCUAAUCCUUCCUUCCCACAGCUGUAAAAAUAAUAUUUCUUAAAGUUCUUGACCACUUUGUUUCCCUUUUCAGAACCUGUAGUGGCUUCAUGUUAUUUAUAGGAUAACUUAAAAAACUCCUGUUCAUGGAAGUCUCUCUCCCCCUUCUCCAACAAGAGUGGCUCUGGUCUAUCUUUCUAGUUUUAUUUUGUAUUACUCCCUUUUACACAUCUUAUAU
RNAcentral lists this long non-coding RNA (703 nucleotides) under Monodelphis domestica (gray short-tailed opossum). Its description in RNAcentral is "lncRNA (ENSMODG00000037254.1)". The record is from RNAcentral. Lineage: Eukaryota; Metazoa; Chordata; Mammalia; Didelphimorphia; Didelphidae.